CCUACGGGUGGCUGCAGUGGGGAAUAUUGGACAAUGGGGGCAACCCUGAUCCAGCCAUGCCGCGUGUGUGAAGAAGGCCCUCGGGUUGUAAAGCACUUUCAGUGAGGAAGAACGCCUGGUGGUUAAUACCCAUCAGGAAAGACAUCACUCACAGAAGAAGCACCGGCUAACUCCGUGCCAGCAGCCGCGGUAAUACGGAGGGUGCGAGCGUUAAUCGGAAUUACUGGGCGUAAAGCGCGCGUAGGUGGCUUGAUAAGCCGGUUGUGAAAGCCCCGGGCUCAACCUGGGAACGGCAUCCGGAACUGUCAAGCUAGAGUGCAGGAGAGGGAGGUAGAAUUCCCGGUGUAGCGGUGAAAUGCGUAGAGAUCGGGAGGAAUACCAGUGGCGAAGGCGGCCUUCUGGACUGACACUGACACUGAGGUGCGAAAGCGUGGGUAGCAAACAGGAUUAGAUACCCCUGUAGUCC
RNAcentral lists this ribosomal RNA (466 nucleotides) under Vreelandella stevensii. Its description in RNAcentral is "partial 16S ribosomal RNA". It matches the Rfam family "Bacterial small subunit ribosomal RNA", at positions 338 to 796 of the family's 1533-position model. Lineage: Bacteria; Pseudomonadati; Pseudomonadota; Gammaproteobacteria; Oceanospirillales; Halomonadaceae. The record is from RNAcentral.